Molecule: long non-coding RNA, 3500 nt
Filed under: Venturia canescens
Lineage: Eukaryota; Metazoa; Arthropoda; Insecta; Hymenoptera; Ichneumonidae
Description: uncharacterized LOC122411636
Source: RNAcentral
AAUGGGCGAGAAUACAAACUUGUCGUUCAAUUAGUCUCAUUGAAUGGCUGCACGAUCGACGAAUGUGUUUUCCGCGAGUUCGACUCUCGUCUUUCGCCACUGAUAUUUCCUGCAUUCAGAGUUAACAUUUUGUUGAUUAUUCAUCCUAAAUAAUUGCUAUCAUCUCGAUUAAUCUGCUCGUCGUUUUUUGGCUUAUUUCACCCGUUGAAUUAUCAGCUCAGCGGCUCAAUGCUCCGCUGAAUUAAUUCCAUUUUUUUUGUUAACGUUCCUCGAACGGAUAAAUUGAAAAUUACUUUCACACUCGCUCCGCUCAUUUACUCAGCCCUCGCUAACGAGGGGGGAAGAUCGAUUAAUUUUAUUUAUACGAGAAAUCACUAAUGGUUUUAAUCUCAAACCGAUUUAAUCACACAUCGAUGGAUAUUAAAUAAAUCGUCGCGGAAUAUUUUGCACGAAUAUCCCUCGCGGCUUAUCGCACGAUCACCAACACUCUUUUGCAGUUAACUCUCGCGGAGAAAACAACCGCAACCAGCUUGGCUGCGAAUCAGAAACGUACUACUCGCGCGCUUCUCGCUUUCGUGUUAACACCAGGGACACGGGGAGAUCUCCGGUGUUCGGGGGGUCGACAUCACAUCGGACACUAAUAUAUCUCUGUGCACGACUUUGCUCUCGAAAGAAGAUGAAACCUCGUCUAUUUUCAUGGAUCCACGAGAGAACAGUGUCUCCCGAGGCGACUCAAGAGAUUACGAUGACAAACGAAUCAUCGAGAAAUCGCCGGGAGCUCGCAAGUCGCUCGCGGAUCAAUUUUUCGUUUUUCCAUUCAUUUUUUUCUCGGUUGUAAAAGACUUUGCUCGUGGGCACGCUUGCCUGGUGCAGAUGCGACUUUCGGACCGGUCGCGAAUGCAUCGCAGUCGUUGAUUCGAAGGCGAGAAAACAAAACAAGGUUGAAAAUCGAGUUCGCACCGAGUGCCAAGUUCGAAAGAAUUAAUCGUGUCAGUUUCCCCCCGCUCGAUGGCCGGAUUGGACAAGGAUUUUGAGAGAUAUUCUCUCCGGAGGAAGAGGAAGAAAAGGAGGAGGAAAGAGAAAUUUAUUUGCGGAUUUGUUACGAGGCUGGUCGCGUUCGUUGUCGUCGAAAUGCUCCGGUGGACUCCGAGCUCGGGCAACGCGAUUUAAAUUUGGUUCUACGAACUCGUUCGCCUCAGUCCUUGAAAUAUUUCACAGAUAAAUUUCUCGAAUGGACGUUUUCAUUGAGGUUUCAAGACCCUUAGCUAAUCAGCUGUCAAAUACACGAUUUUUGAGAUUUUCAUGUAACUGAGUCAGUCACUUUGACUCCCGACUGAUUGUUGACUCACAAAUGGCCUCGGAGAUGUCGAAUCGUUGGGUAAUUUGACUACAAGAUCGAAGCAAAGUUAGAAGACACUUUAACCAGUGAGAGCAAGUUCAAUUGAGUGAUUGUGGAAUGAAAUUUUCCAUUUGACACAUUGGGAAGGUGUUUUCAUCUCGUUUCUACUUCGAAUAGUAUCUCGAUCGACGGCAUCUUCAAAAUCUACAAUUUCAUCUGACAACGGACCUUCCUCCACGCGCGUGCUUAAUGAUAACGAUUUUUUUUACUUCCCGUACGAAUGGGAACGCUUCCCUGACAUUUCCAAUUGAAAAAUGUAUUCCUGUAAGAGGAUCCCAAGAAACUGCAUUCACCUGUCGAGCAAUUCACGCAUAUUCCUUUUCGAUCGACCCGCCCAAAGAUCAGCAUGUUUUAUUGACAUUCCGCCGGCGCAGUCGUCCUUUCCACGCUUCAAACCUGUGGCACUCUCCUUGAGAAUUUCGAGACGUGGGCCGAGAAUCAUUGAAAAGCAGCUCGUGAUCCGGGAGAUACCGACUCGAGUAGCAUUGGCAAAGCUGCUUAUACACUUCGAUGCUCCGCGGAUGCUUUUGAUAGGGAGCUUCCUUCCGCUGUAGAAAUUCGGCGCUGACUGGCAGACGUCGCAUCUUCCUCUUCAUAAGCCCUCCGCAUUUGCUCUUUACUGAGGCUUUUAUUGGGAGCCUCGAAUAUCUUAACACUGGCGAAACGCUCUGCGUAACUCACCGAUUCUCAAAUCACAAGAAACUUUCAUAUCCUCCGGAGAACGUCUCUGCUGUAUCGAAACAGCGAUUGCUCGAAUCCUUUCUACGAAGUCGAUCGACUUUAUUAUCCGGGAUUGGGCCCGCUCGGUGCGAGUGCAAUCCAGCAGUUUCAUCUUUGGAAAGAAGACUUCGAAGCGGAGCGCAUUCAGGUCAGCACAGUGUCAACUGCGAUAAUUCGCCGAUAGAUGCGAGCAAAAGAGUUCGUUGAUUUCGGCAGCCCUGAGAGGAGAGUAACGCCGAGUAAAAACGAAAGCGCUCGAGCAUUGAUUCGACACAAGAACUCAGUGAAAAUCUCGACGCGAGUUCCGGGUAAAACUCUGCAACUUCACUAGCAACAGCACGGGCCAAAGUGACUUCAGCGUUAUGUUUAUUGAACGUGAAAACUCGGCCCCGCCGAAUGUACAUGCUCUCGGACAGCGUACGGUUUUGAGAGAAGCUACGAAAGCCGCGAGCUUUUCAUCACUUUCGGGGAGAGAGUAGCAGAGCGUAACCAGCGCUCUCCCUCGCAGCAGCGACGUCAAAACAGUUGCAUAUUCAUGAGUGAGCCAGUUGACGUUGACAUACCCGCAGAGCGAUGCUACUGGCUUCGUGCAAACGCUCGCAAUAUUUGAGAGGCGUGUGCGAGCCUCGUGCGGCUCUCGGCAGACAAAAGUAUAUCACAGGACGGAUGUAAUACCCGACCUGAGGCGGGCCGCCCCGACCCUUGUGCGAAGCUAUCACACACCCCACGAUUUGUAAGCUCCGAUGUCUUCUCUUACGAAAUCCGUUGAAAUACCGCGACGGAAUCAACGACGACAUUUCACAUUUCUUCGACUUUCGGACGCUCUUUUUCGAAGCAGUUUCGUUUCGAAGUACAUCCUGGCGUGAAUGACGCCGAAGUUUGCCACGUCUGAGUCCAGCGAAAUGAACGAGAACAAAUAGCUUAACGCUCCAAUUUUUUCCCUUCGACGAUUUUUUGGAGUUCGCGAAAAAGCGGAAAUUCAUAACGAAAGUAGCUGGCUAAGAGACCCAGGCAACGAAGAUACGCACGGGAGAGUUAAGGGGGAAUAUCAGUGCGAAAAAAAGAGCUUGGGCGCAAAAGGGCUUCUGUAUGGUCCAGCAGGGAUAGCAAACCAAUCGCUCGUAAAGAUUCCUUCGGAGCUCCGUUAAAAAUUGUGACAUCGCGUGAGCUUUGAACCUCGCCCAUCGGUGGUACGCUGCACCGAAAAACCAGCGGAAAAAUGUCUGGUUACGUGUCGGAAGAUAUUCAUCAGCGAAGGGAGAAAAAGCUAUGGAAAAGGGUGGUGCUGCUGGCAAGGGCGAUUGCGGGGCUCACGGAGCUCGAGUGGCCAUAAAAUUAUUUCAAUAAAUGAGAAACCUCCUGCGCGGAGUUGGGAUUUUAA